UAAAAAACGUUGAGCGGAAGAGUAGAUUAGCAUCACUUUAAGGGAGUUUGCGGGUAGUGUGAGCAAACAGUGGUGUUAGUUGAAACACAUCUGUGAGUGUAUGAUUGAAUCGAGUAGGUCAUAUCGGUUUUGCCCGUUAUCGCAAACAGUCUUUUGACUUAUUGAGGCAACUACCAGUGAUGGUUUUGCGAUAAGAGGUGGCACCGCGGAAAACGCCCUCUGAAUACAGCUGUAUUCAGAGGGCGUUUUUGCAACCAUUAAACCAAAAGACUGACGGAGUAAUUUUGUGUGAACAAAAUUAGAAUCUGAGGUGGCACCACGCUGACGCGUCCUCUUG
Molecule: non-coding RNA, 337 nt
Filed under: Leuconostoc lactis
Lineage: Bacteria; Bacillati; Bacillota; Bacilli; Lactobacillales; Lactobacillaceae
Description: T-box sequence
Rfam family: T-box leader (bases 1-223)
About the family: Uncharged tRNA acts as the effector for transcription antitermination of genes in the T-box leader family. T-boxes are found upstream of many aminoacyl-tRNA synthetase genes and some amino acid biosynthetic genes usually in Gram-positive bacteria.
Source: RNAcentral